Staphylotrichum longicolle is the source of this 82-nucleotide non-coding RNA. The record is from the annotation of a GenBank genome assembly. NCBI's taxonomy places the organism in Eukaryota, Fungi, Ascomycota, Sordariomycetes, Sordariales, Chaetomiaceae.
GGCCGUGUGGUGUAGUGGUAGCAUACUUGCUUUGGGAGAUCAAUCGUGCAAGUGGUCCCAGGUUCAAGCCCUGGCUCGGCCC